CAAUGACAUUCAAUUCGUAUUAUCUGUGAUGACAAUAUUCCGAGUACUGUGAUGGUGUCUUCAUUUAUGUAGCAGUGUGACAGUACAUUUAAGAAAGUGGUUGCAGUAUGUGUAUAUAUGUUCGUUAUUUGUGAAUUUAGGUGUUAUAUGUUGAGAAACUGUGCCGUAAUUUGCUCGUCUGCUGUUGCCGCCAAGCGCACUCGUUUUAUGUGAUAGCUGUUGGCCCACUUCGUGGGUUUACACAACUUUUUAUUCGAUGAUGUUUGAAUCGAAGUUCUCAGUACGGGAGGUCAGACUAAAAGAGUUGAGUUGCGGGUUUGGGUCGAAAGCGGGUUUUUUGAGACCCGCACGGGACUUCGUUGCCGCCCCCGGUAUGGCACGAGCCCAACUGAACAUUCCAGGACGACGCGUGCCAGCGUCGCGGAUACUCCCGAGCGUCGCUCCGGAAACGCCCGAGAGCGAGGUUUUACAGGGGAACACAGCCGUCCCAUCAUCGCCGAGGAGUAAGAGACGGGGAGGUGGCGGGUUGGGCGCUGAGAAAGAUGCGAGGAACUCAUCGCUUCGUACCGGUGCAUACGACGACGACGACCGUGCAGGCCGCACGCCCUCACGUACCCUCGCUCGCGUUCAGCUCUUCUGCACUCGACGACACAAACAACCAUUUCGACAAGUAGCACGCAGGGUGAAGAAGAGAAAGGCAGAGUGAAAGAUAAAUUAAUUAAACGAACUUUGCAUAAAAGUUUAAAAAAUAGAAAACUUUUUAGAAGCAAGAAGAAACGUGGACGAAUAAUAUUAUAUACCGAAUAUUGUAAAACGAAUUAAGUGAAAGAAGGGGGCCAUCAAGAUAUUAUUAGAAAUAGUUUUAUAAUUAUAUCGUCACCAUCUGAAUGUGGGAUGUCAAGACGACAGUCAGCUGAUGCAGAAUAGUUGAGUGAGCGAGCAACGCCCCUCACAGCAGAAGUCACUCCGGCCGAAGAUGGCCGACUGGGUGUCACGUGAAUAUUAAUAGCAUCGGUGACCAUAAUUCUGUUUGCUCCGCAAAACCAAGUUGUCUUAUCAUACAACAAUAUGCGUAGCGGAAGAUAGAAUACAUUUUGAAACAUCUCCCCUAAGAAUUUGUUAGUUCCGACUUUGAAACUUUCCAUUUUUUAUAUUCCAAAUGUAUAAAAGUAAUGUGAAGCUUUGUGUAAUAGAACUUGGAACAUGGACACGUAUGAAGGACAUACGUAAUUAAUGUGGCAAUGGUUAUUGAAGUACGGUGUAAUCGGUUGUAUCUCGCUCGUGGUCGUGAACAAGAAGAGACAGUGGCACGUGCAGCAACUCUGUAACCAGGACCGAUUCUUGUUGGUGUGUGUGUGUCUGUAAAAUGAAAAAUACCUUGCAUGAUUUCACUGACAUUUGAGAACAGUUACUGCUUCUGUCGUUGAUGCUGGAGACAAGCAGUUCAUGAUGUCGAAAUCUCUGGUUAAUGAAGUGCCUCGUCCAUCGGUUCAUGCUACCACCCCUGAACGUAAGGAUGGUGUUGCAUUACCUGUGCUGCCUCCCCCGCGUGCUACAAGAGGCGAAAACCAGUCCGAAAUGUGUUUACCAGUCCUGCAGGACCCGUUUCCCUUGAGUCCAGAAACAGAUAAGGAAGAUAUCGCUUCUGAAGAUGAGGAUUCUGCAACGAGAUCGCCAACCCCGUGGUUCAUGAAGCAUGGUUGCAGUAUCACCGCUGUCGCCAUCAUUGUCCUUAUCGCCGUCAUCUUGUUUCCACCCGUAUGGUUGAGGAUUGGAGUUUGACUGGAGCUGAAUGUCUUUUGGACGUCAGUGAAGAAGUUUGGGAACUUGUGCUGUGGUGGAGACUGAUUUCGUGAUAUAUUUGGUGAUCGUGGAUGGUGUCGGGAGUGAGCGAUUGUGCGAAUUUUUUGUAGUAGAAUGAUGAGAGAAGUGGUAGUUAUAAUGGUUCCUGGUGGCUGGUAAAUUUGCUGCUGCCACUCCCGUUUUAUCAACUUGUUCGUAUCGCCAGAAUGCCCGUGAGCACCGGAGCUGGCUCUUCGAACGCCGACCGCGCCAAACGCUGCAAGCACUGUGAAGAGUCUGGGCACCGGUUGGAUAGUGGGAAUCUGUUCUGGAGGAUCCAGUUGGACCAGGAUCUGCUGGAUACAAUCAUCGCCAUAUACCCGGAGUGGUUCAAGGAUUAUAACCUAAGCCGGGUGGGGUCGACUAUGGCUGAGGGGGGGUGC
Molecule: non-coding RNA, 2225 nt
Organism: Zootermopsis nevadensis
Lineage: Eukaryota; Metazoa; Arthropoda; Insecta; Blattodea; Termopsidae
Source: RefSeq, a predicted model, not a curated record